Long non-coding RNA from Tribolium castaneum (red flour beetle), 2913 nucleotides. RefSeq lists it as uncharacterized. NCBI's taxonomy places the organism in Eukaryota, Metazoa, Arthropoda, Insecta, Coleoptera, Tenebrionidae. The transcript is spliced from 3 exons. The record is from RefSeq and is a predicted model, not a curated record.
GUUACGUAUUUUUACAUAAAUUUGGAAAGUAACUACACUUCAAAGCUGUCAUUCAGCUUUUCGUUUAAACCAAGGUUUAAACACGAAUUAAAAAACAAAUAUUUGUUUUUAAACAUACUGUACCUUAAUUCGUACUUUUGUGUUUGAACAAGGCGUUUUAAGUCUGCUCCAUAUAGGUUUUCUCGUUUCUACGCAAAGAAUCAUCCCAAAGAUGAUGUAUGAUAUAUGGUGUCACAACUCCCUUUAAUUCCCCAUAUAAAAAUGUCAACUGAACGCAAUGCUAGCAACAUGGCAAGGUCGGGAACUUUUUUGAACAUUGUUCAGCAGAUGGAGCUGUUCUACAAAUUUUUGACUAUUUUUCAAAUUUACGUCAUAAUGACACAUCAUAUUAAAUUCUGUGGUCUAAGGUUGUUUACGGUGUUUACGGCUAUCUACGAACCUGUGCCAGGAAUUAUAUUAGUUAAUGAAUCACAUGAACCACAUCAGCUAUCAUAAACAUAAAUAAAUUCAUAUCGGAGGCCCGAAAACAACUGUGAACGCAUUAUAAGGUGAUUGAUGUCUGUACAAACGGUAGUUGCACUUGAGUUUUCGAAAGUGUUAGAAAACAGCAACGCCAAAAACAACAAGUUGUGUAGAAAAAGCAUCAAUCCAUCGAGUAAUCUUUGUAAUCAAACCCAUUUGGAUGUAGGAACCAGCCUUGUUUCAAUGAUUUUAACUGAAAUUCCGCAUAACAUAAGAAAUGAGAGUAAUUAAUAAAGUUAUUAAUAUUUUUAAUCAAAACUACAGAUGAGAAGUAUAAAACACAAUAAGCAAAAUCAGUCUUUUAAUUAAUUACAGUUGGGUGUGAGUCUCUUAGGUAUGUAAGUGUGUGAAGUUGUCUUUGGGAGCCACUUUUUGCAAAAAAUUUACAUACACAAGUACCACUGAAAACACAAACCAUCACAAAAUAUCAGUUUGAUGUGCCCGUCACUCAGUUAAAGACCGGUAAUAGUCACUAUCUUCCCUUUUUCAGUAAAUUGAAUUUUAUCUGCCAAAAUGCUACUGUCACUGAAAUCAAAUUUGAAGCAUUUUUGAAGUUCAAAAUGUGAUCGGUAAUAAGGAUACCUUUAAAUCAAAUUCAAAAAGCGCUAUCUAAUGGCCAUUGUAUGAAAUGGUUCCCGACCUCGUCAGUUCGUUCCAGUUUAAAACAAAUGAAGGGAGUUGGAGCACCAUACCUUCUAACACCACCAUCCCAAAUAAGCUGUUUUUGACAUAACUGAAAUAAAAUUCAUUCUUUUGUGCCAGAUAUAGCGUUUUUGUUUAAAAUAAAGCUCAAUUCGUUCUUUUGUAGCCGAAUAAAACGUUUUUAGUCUGUUCAAUUAAGUUUCUUGUUCAAAACAAUGAAUUGUCCAAAAUAAACCGUUUCUGUUCAAACUGAUAAAUUAUUCGCCCUUUUGUGUCUGAACAAGAUGUUUUCAGUCUCUUUGAAGUUAGUUUUUUUGUUUCAAACAAAGAAUCAACGGAGAUAAUCCAUUUUAAUGCAAACUGCAACAUAAAACGUUUUUAUAAGGCGAAAUAUGACGUUUUCAGUCUGUUCAAUAAAAGUUUAGUUGUUUCGAAGCAAAGUAUUGUUCAAAAAUUGUUAUUCAAACUGUUACAUAAAUCGUCCUUUUGAGCCAGAAUAAGGCGUUUUCGUUGUGUUAUGUAAAUUUUUUUAUGUUUUAAAGCAAAGAAUUUUUUUAAAGAUGCUGUGUUUAACCAAACUGUACCUUAAUUCAUACUUUUGUGCCUGAUUAAGGCGUUUUCACUUUGUUCCGUAUGUUUUCUCGUUUCUAAAAAAAAACUGUUCGAAAUAUAAAGUUUUUAACCAAACUGUAAAUUAACUCGUUUUUUUUUCUACCUGAAUUCGGCAUUUUCAUUCAGUUUUUUACAAGUUUGCGCCUCUGUAGGCAAAGCAUUGACCGAAAUAAGCCAUUUUUGUCAAAACUACAGUCCGGGACAUUUCUAUUUGGACAUAAAAAAUUUGAAUUUUCUGACAUUUAUACGUGUAUUCAGCGUCUGUGUGAACAAAAAAUGUUCUCUCUCUCAUUCUAUGGUCCUUGAGCUUUAAUAACAGGGACAUUUUUUAAAUUGGUAGCAUUAGAAAAUGACAGUAAACAGCUGACUGAUGUAAACAAUAACACAAUAACAAAGGAAAUGUUAUAAUUUUAAUCUAUAUAACCAGUGGCUGCUUUAAAAGUGUGUACUAACGGGAUAAUAACAUAUUUACGCAAGUAUUUUUGAAGGUAGAAACAUUACUUGUCAUAUAACAACUACUCAGAUUAUAUGAUGAGACGGGAAUGGCACAAUACAGAAUUGCAGUCAGUGAUUGUGAUGGAGAAAGCUGCUGUGAAGUACUGACAGUACUGACUAUCGCUGGUUGUACGAUUUGUGCAAUUUGUGAUAUAUUUUGUGUGAAAAACUGGAAAAGAAAGUGCAUCACUGCAUAACCUCACUUAUCGCAGUUUUGCACAUUUUGAUGAUGGGAAUUGCGGUUCAAGUAAUUAUGAGUUAUAGAUGGAGAGCCCUGUUUACUUCAAACUGAAGCCUUUUGGGUCCACUUUGUUCCUGGCAGCCACUCUUGUUUCAAGCAGAGUGGGUGUAAAGUUAAAAAUAAUCCCGUAAAAUUGUUAAUAUAACUCCUUUGCACUGGCAUGGGGUAUUUGAAAACUUACGUUUAACAAAUACGUCACAAAGUCUCAGCCAUCGUCGAAAAAUAUAAUAAGGGCUUUAUAACAAGAAGCGCUUUCUGAUUUUACUGUGGACGUGUGGAAGAAUAGUGUGAAAUAUUGCGAAAAACCAACUUUUACUCUUGUUUACAUUUUUGUACGUCUCUAUCUGAGAGUAGUCUCUUGUAUAAAAAAUAUAGCCUACUAAUAAAGGAAAUUAAAGUGU